CAGCCGCCGCGGUAAGACAGAGGAUGCAAGCGUUAUCCGGAAUGAUUGGGCGUAAAGCGUCUGUAGGUGGCUUUUCAAGUCCGCCGUCAAAUCCCAGGGCUCAACCCUGGACAGGCGGUGGAAACUACCAAGCUGGAGUACGGUAGGGGCAGAGGGAAUUUCCGGUGGAGCGGUGAAAUGCGUUGAGGUCGGAAAGAACACCAACGGCGAAAGCACCCUGCUGGGCCGACACUGACACUGAGAGACGAAAGCUAGGGGAGCAAAUGGGAUUAGAUACCCGCGUAGUCCCUGUCUCUUAUAC
RNAcentral lists this ribosomal RNA (301 nucleotides) under uncultured bacterium. RNAcentral's name for it is "partial 16S ribosomal RNA". It matches the Rfam family "Bacterial small subunit ribosomal RNA", at positions 509 to 807 of the family's 1533-position model. The record is from RNAcentral.